AGCGUUUCGAGACUUGAACAUUUAAAUUGCCUGAUUUAUUUCUCGCUUUUGGGUUUUAUUUACCAAAUUAUUUGCCACUUUUGUCUUUUUGUCAAUUGUUUUGCAAGCUUUGGGUUUAUUAGCUUUUAGUUAUCUCUCAUAAGUUUAUUUUUGGUUAUCUUAGUUACUUUAUUUGCAGUUUUUGGAACUUAAAAGGCUUCUUCUAUUUGCCAGAAAUAUGCCCCCCUAGACAUCAUUAAUUCGAAGCCCGUAGAACAUGACAGGGUCCAGAAGUACGAUUAAGUUUCUGAGCUAGCCCGACAACCGAGGCGAUAUCUAGUAAUCAAAUCACUCUCUGAUGCAAAUCUUUCAACGUGAAAUUUGAUUCCUAAGUGUUGUUAAAGAGGAUUGACCUUCAUCCGGUGGACUAUGAAGAUGAGCGGCCCUCAGGUCAAGUUCUCCUCCUUGACCGAUCCAGUACAAUUGAAUGAAAAAAGGAGCAAUUCUACAUUAUCUUUUCCUGUCCACUCAUGAAAACCGAUCCAAGGUGAGAUCUUUUUUUCAGCCCAAGGUGGAAGAAGAGUCGACGAUGGAUAAACGUUCUGAAUGUUUGACCGUGCAACAAUCGUCGUCAGGGCGGUCUUGGGGGGACAUCACAACUAGAAAUACUGGUCAUGGAGGCAUUUUACAACCUAAUGUACGUAAGUACGACUCGGUUCAUGGCAGGAAAUCCCCAAUAGUACAGGACUUGUGGAGCUGAUGCCCACUAUAUUGUAUCGGUGGGUACUCGUACGCAUCAAGCGUCCCUUCGCUCCGUUGCUUCGUCUGUUCAGAGCUCGGAUCGUCCAUCUUUCCACGGACGCUCCGAACGACUCAUCUUCUUUUCACCCUUAUUGUUGCUGAGAAUGCGUCGUCCCUGUCGUCCUACUAGCAUCGUUCUCCUCGAUUGGUGACCUCAGGCAAUAUUGACAUCAAGAAAUAAUCCAUUCCAAACACAAGGUCAUUUCAGCUUUUACUGGAUAUCUUCCACGAAAUCUUCCCCUCUGUUCACACCAUAAUGAAGCUCCCCGUUCCGACCAUAGGCCCAUGACAUCUGGUUGCUGUUCCAUCCGAUGCCCAAAUUACCGGCUCCGUCGAUUGCAAUCACUCCACCAUCUCCACCCACCCGUUGGGCCAUAUAAUCCAAAGUCUCUGUGAUGGCAUCAUUGGGGGAAAGGCCAGUCUUCUCCACCAAAUAACUCACACGUCUCGCCACACCCACUUUCAUAAAGGAUUCUCCCACACCCGUUCCCGAGACUCCAACAGAAUCGUUAUCGGCAAACACGCCAUGUCCAAUCUGAAUUUAAAGCCGACAUUUUGGAACACAUCAAGCAAAGACAUUUCAAAUUUUUCUUACACCGGGAGUGUCCCCAACACGACCAGGCAGUUUUCCAGUCAAACCACCGGUACUUGUUCCGGCGGCAAUGUUUCCAUCGGCAUCAAUGGCCACAGCUCCAACCGUGCUCUUUUGGUUUUUCCAUUUGUCCAUGGUUUCGAUUUGAUUCAUGGUCUUGUAUUCACCGGAGGUGGAUUUAGUCAUGUUGUGAUCUGCUAGCCAUUGUAACCAAUAUUCGUAUUGAUGUAGUGUGAUGAAAUAGUCCUAGAUACGUAGAAUGAACAUUCAAAAUUUG
Tigriopus californicus is the source of this 1649-nucleotide long non-coding RNA. RefSeq lists it as uncharacterized. The record is from RefSeq and is a predicted model, not a curated record. NCBI's taxonomy places the organism in Eukaryota, Metazoa, Arthropoda, Copepoda, Harpacticoida, Harpacticidae. The transcript is spliced from 2 exons.